This 212-nucleotide long non-coding RNA is filed under the name Serinus canaria (Common canary). RNAcentral describes it as "lncRNA (ENSSCAG00000004459.1)". Lineage: Eukaryota; Metazoa; Chordata; Aves; Passeriformes; Fringillidae. The record is from RNAcentral.
GUAUUCUUCCUUCAAGACAGCACAGCAGGCCUAUAGAAUAUAUUUUGAAGUUUGUCCUGGAAGAUGAGCUUCAUUGAAUAGAUGCAUAUUCUGUAGAAGAGAAAAUGCCUUUUGUUAGACAUCUGAACGAAGUCCAGAGGAUCAUCUCUACACAAUACUCAGACUUAUUGGACAAACUCAUCCUUCACCUGAAGAUGAAGACAAUCUCAUGA